RNAcentral lists this long non-coding RNA (2317 nucleotides) under Capsicum annuum. RNAcentral describes it as "long non-coding RNA (CANN_LNC002423)". The record is from RNAcentral. Lineage: Eukaryota; Viridiplantae; Streptophyta; Magnoliopsida; Solanales; Solanaceae.
UUUUUUUUUUUAUAAUCAAAAGAAAGCAUCACAGGGAAUAUAUUACUUUGCUAGCGAAUUCCUCAACUGUAGAUCAACCAUGUGCAGUUCAGUGAUUUGCUGGAUGAACACCUUCCUUAUCCUGUAGACGGAGUAAAACAAGUCUUGGUUUUCAAUUUUCAUCAUCAAGCUAGCAAGCUCUUCCGGGAGUCCAUCGGAAACAUCCUCUCUACUUCUUUGGAGGUAGCGGUAUGGACUGCGUACAUCUUACCCUCUCCAGACCUCACUUUGUGGGAAUACACUGGGUUUGUUGUUGUUGUUUUUGUUAAGCUAGCAAGCUCUUGUUUGAUUGGAACUCCAAAAUCGAGGCCAACAAUGCACUUCAUCUCUCACAGGUCAUCGAACUUCAAUGGAUCCACGUCCAUCUACUCAUGUAAAACGAGCUUUGUAAUCUCUGAGAUGUAAGGUGUCUUUGUAUGAAAUGAAUAACCAUUGAAAGUUUGAAACCAAGUGGUUGUGUAAGUAAUACAAUGAGAAGGUCCAAGAUAAAAAUUAUUACUCAGACUAGGAAUUUAUGUGACUAUGCCUUCCAGGUACUUUAACUACUUAAGAAAAUAAGACAUUUAACUACUAGGUUUGCUCAAGCAAGUUUUUGCCACGACCCGAACCGGGGCCCUAGCCGUGAUGAGCAUCCCGAACCAUGAAGGCCCGGUAUGCACAAUUCUUAUAUAAAAUAAUGCAGAAAUAUAAUCAAUACGGAAUCAUGGUCAUGUUCUGGGUCAAGUAUAUCAAUACGAAAGAAAACCCAUCAACAUGUAAACAACAUCUGUUUCUGUUUCCGAAAUCUCUAAUACAUACAAAAUAAGCAAACUGUCUGAAACUGGGACAAGGCCCCCAGUGGACCUAAACCAAAGUAAAUGACAAAUGUCUGAAAAGAAACAGGCCUUCCGGAAUAAAGAAGGCUCACCAACUGCACACUUCUGUAUGAUAAUUCUACGGCUUAGCAGGACCUCUAGAUUGAGCCUCAGACCCUGAAAUAUAGGGGGGAUCAAUAAAAUUGUACUAGUAUGUGAAGCAACUCAAAAUAACAUGUUUUUAUACAAAAUAGAUGAGAGCAUUUCACAAUAAUAAUAAACAUUAUAUAAGUGGAAAUACAUGGGCAUAUUUAACAAAUUUAAAGUUCAAUUCUUGACAAUCUUAACUCACUUUUUGUCAUUAUUUUGAGCUAAUCGGUACACCCUACAAUUUGUAAUUCCAUGGGCUAUAUGGAAUCAUUUACUCGACGGCCAAGCCUCCAAUCCAAGUGUCCCACAAGAAUUGGAGUUUUAGUAACAUGGAAUACCCCUUACAAGUAUACUGUGGUAUCACCCUUGCAUGAUGUCCGCAUUAUCCCCCUUAUAGGAUAAUACCCGUAUCAGCAACUACGGUUUCCAAUGAUGAGCCCUUACACUCAAAUGCCUUCUUCGGAUAACCAAUUAGCUCUCUUAAGCCCAAAUUUUAAUUAUUCAAAAUCUGGUAUCACCCUUGGAUGCUUCGUGUUUUCAAACGUUCAAUACUUUUUCUAUUAAGGGCAUGUCAUCAUCGGGUAUCGUCAUACCCUGACUUGCAAGUCAAUAUCAUAUCAAAUUCACAGCCCAUAUUAUAUUCAAAACAUGCACAUGACCACCAAUGAAAUUCAUAACAUUACAAUAGAGUCAUCACUUGGAAACCUCAAGAACAUUUAAGCAUUUAUCCUCUCUUGGCAAGAUUUCAAAACAUGUGGUGGUCAUGUAAAAUUGAUCAAUCUCAUGUGAUUCUCCCCCCUUUAAAACAAGAAUAUAGUUAUAGCAAGAAACUCCCUCUCAUCACAUAUAAACCAUGUCAAACACCAUAAUAUUGAGAAGAUCACUUUCAAAUCUUAAAACAUGUGUUUCAAUUCCUUCACAAUGAACAUAUAAACUUUAGUUAGCAACGAGAGGGGAUUCAUGCUCAUGCUCUCAAUCAAUUUUACAAAAUACACAAAAUCCCAUACAUAUAUAGUUAUAAUUCAAUUUCCAUGAAAAGUGAUUCAAGACAAUAUAUAUUUUCAUCAAAACAAUCCCAUGAUGCAUACCUUCCAAAAACCAUGUAGAAUACUUCAUUAUAAAACAUAAUUGGGGAUCUUUAAUCUUGAUAAAAAUAUUUAAACUUAUGCCCAAGGUUUUUAGAGUAGUCCCACACACCUUAGAUUAUCAGAUCUGAAAGAUUGAACCCGAAUGUUGAUAUAUUUCCUUCAAAACUUGGCUUAAGAGUCAGGGAUUUUUUUCUUGUUCUUGGGGAAAUGGAGGAUGAUUUUUGAUUUGGGGAGAAUAUGAAUUUG